GGGGUUGGGGAUUUGGCUCAGUGGUAGAACGCUUGCCUAGCAAGCUGGAAACCCUGGGUUCGGUCCUCAGCUCCAAACCUGAAAAACAAAAAAUCCCUAUAAAAAAACACAAAAUAUAAAAAAGACCAAAAACAAACAAGGUAACUGCGCACACAAACAACCUUU
RNAcentral lists this transfer RNA (165 nucleotides) under Cavia porcellus (domestic guinea pig). RNAcentral describes it as "partial non-coding RNA". Lineage: Eukaryota; Metazoa; Chordata; Mammalia; Rodentia; Caviidae. The record is from RNAcentral.